This 237-nucleotide ribosomal RNA is filed under the name uncultured bacterium. Its description in RNAcentral is "partial 16S ribosomal RNA". It matches the Rfam family "Bacterial small subunit ribosomal RNA", at positions 99 to 334 of the family's 1533-position model. The record is from RNAcentral.
CGGACGGGUGAGUAACACGUGAGCAACCUGCCUUUCAGAGGGGGAUAACGUUUGGAAACGAACGCUAAUACCGCAUAAUGUAUCGAUGGGACAUCCUGUUGAUACCAAAGGAGCAAUCCGCUGAGAGAUGGGCUCGCGGCCGAUUAGGUAGUUGGUGGGGUAACGGCCCACCAAGCCGACGAUCGGUAGCCGGACUGAGAGGUUGAACGGCCACAUUGGGACUGAGACACGGCCCAG